RNA transcript from Octopus bimaculoides (California two-spot octopus), 1887 nucleotides. RefSeq lists it as uncharacterized. Lineage: Eukaryota; Metazoa; Mollusca; Cephalopoda; Octopoda; Octopodidae. The record is from RefSeq and is a predicted model, not a curated record.
AUGGUUUUUGAAGAAAAGUUUAGCAAAUUCUGGCGCAAAGGCAGAAUUCUAAUGUCGACGCUAUUCUCACGCCAACACACUUCCUUGAGUAUUUAUUCAAGCGCUUCAACGGCAUCUAGUCAGAUUUUCUCAAAACGUUCGCCAUCUGCUGGUGAAUGGGUGAAGGAAAAAAACAAUUAAAAACGGCAUCAUCUGUGUCGUUGACCUAAAGAAGAAAAAAGAAGAAGAACGAAGCAGUAAACCAAACUAUUCUAGAGAAUACAGUUGUAUUACAUAGUAUAACAGAUAUACAUGCAAUAAGCCUUUUAAAAUAUUUAUAAUAGUACUUUACAAGAAAAGUGACAAAGUGUUACGAUAUAAAAAAGAAAAAAAACAUAACAAUCUACUGAAAACUACAAUUUUGUAAACCGUGAGAGGACGUCAUUUUGAGGGUGAAGAGAACAUCAAAAUAUCUUUGGAACGGCGUAAAAAGUGAAUUUGAAACCGCACGCUAACGACGAUAUUAAUUGCGAAAAUAUAACAGCAAGAACAAGAAGACAAUCAAGAACAACAGCAGUUUCAACAAAAGACAGUAGCAGCAACAGCAGCACCAACAAAAGAUAUAAAAAAGAAGAAAAACACAGAAAGUGGACGCAACCUUACUUCCCAAGAAAAGAGAGAGAGAAAGAACCACAAGUGACAGACGGGCAACAAGGGAAACAACAACAACAACAACAAUAACAGCAACAACUGCAAUUGAAAAUACUCCAGAAACAGCUGUAGCCGCUACAACAGCAACAGCAGUAGAAGCAACAGGAACAAUAGUUAUAGGGAUUUUUCAAAUAACAAAGUGUUGAAAAAUCAAAAAUGUGCCGACAAGGAGUAUUCUUCAUUGUAGCCAUGUGUUUUGUGGUCUUUGUACAGUCUUUUGACGUGAAGACAUUCUGUAAGACUCGUUGUGCUGUUGGUAGAGGGGGCAAUUUAUGUCGUUGCAAUGCAUUCCAUUUCGCUGGCAAAAGAUCGGACGGGCAAUACAAGCGACAAGAAUUCGGCACCAUUAACACAGACGAUAAUUACAAUCCGUUUCAAAGUUAUUUUGAAAACCUAUCCGGGUCUUUGCCCAUACAAAGACAGAGCGCACAGCAAAACGAUUACGAUGACAACGACGCGACUACAGGAAACCAGAUGUUAUAUCCAGUGAGGGAUGAGGCCCUCUUCAGAAGGGCCAUCUCAGAACAGAUGAACUCCAACAAUGAUCAACUUCUACCAGGUGAUAUCCGCAUCCCCAACAGCAACACAAGAAGUCAGAAGGAAGGCAGCCGUCUUCAGAACUUAUUGCAGAAACAGUAUAAAAGAUAUAAGAACAACAGCAGCGACAGCAACAACAACAACAACCUAUCUGGAGUACUGCCGAUCGACGUCAAUGACUUCAAUGAUAGAUCAGCUCGUUUAAGAAACUCUUUACAUCACACUGACAAUAUAAAGUUCUUGUAGCUGUGGUAGACUACACACUGUGCAGGUAGAUCGUACGCUGAAGUGUAAAUGGCCAAGUAGACCGUACGCUAAAGUUGCACCGAAUAUUUCAGCCCCAUCACCUGCCGAUACUCUACAAGGCUUCACAAUGAAGUACUUUACCUGACUGUGAGAGCUGGUCGACGCUAACAGGAAUUGCUAUCUAGGAUCUAAAGAAAAGUGACGAUGUCCACCAGAGUCUUGCAUGAAGAUAUAUUUUGUGGGGUUGUGUGGCUCUGUUUCGACGAGUUAGCAUUGUGCUUUUGAUUUGUGAACUUGAUCGAUUGUUUGCCAACAUAAUCUGUAUCUUUGAAUUGAAUGCAGAUCAGAAAAUUUAUUUAAAAUUUACACGAGAUAAAAACACAGAAAGACACACAUACAAACAUAUUUAUCCCU